GACGAGAAGCUUGCUUCUCUGAUGUUAGCGGCGGACGGGUGAGUAACACGUGGAUAACCUACCUAUAAGACUGGGAUAACUUCGGGAAACCGGAGCUAAUACCGGAUAAUAUUUUGAACCGCAUGGUUCAAAAGUGAAAGACGGUCUUGCUGUCACUUAUAGAUGGAUCCGCGCUGCAUUAGCUAGUUGGUAAGGUAACGGCUUACCAAGGCAACGAUGCAUAGCCGACCUGAGAGGGUGAUCGGCCACACUGGAACUGAGACACGGUCCAGACUCCUACGGGAGGCAGCAGUAGGGAAUCUUCCGCAAUGGGCGAAAGCCUGACGGAGCAACGCCGCGUGAGUGAUGAAGGUCUUCGGAUCGUAAAACUCUGUUAUUAGGGAAGAACAUAUGUGUAAGUAACUGUGCACAUCUUGACGGUACCUAAUCAGAAAGCCACGGCUAACUACGUGCCAGCAGCCGCGGUAAUACGUAGGUGGCAAGCGUUAUCCGGAAUUAUUGGGCGUAAAGCGCGCGUAGGCGGUUUUUUAAGUCUGAUGUGAAAGCCCACGGCUCAACCGUGGAGGGUCAUUGGAAACUGGAAAACUUGAGUGCAGAAGAGGAAAGUGGAAUUCCAUGUGUAGCGGUGAAAUGCGCAGAGAUAUGGAGGAACACCAGUGGCGAAGGCGACUUUCUGGUCUGUAACUGACGCUGAUGUGCGAAAGCGUGGGGAUCAAACAGGAUUAGAUACCCUGGUAGUCCACGCCGUAAACGAUGAGUGCUAAGUGUUAGGGGGUUUCCGCCCCUUAGUGCUGCAGCUAACGCAUUAAGCACUCCGCCUGGGGAGUACGACCGCAAGGUUGAAACUCAAAGGAAUUGACGGGGACCCGCACAAGCGGUGGAGCAUGUGGUUUAAUUCGAAGCAACGCGAAGAACCUUACCAAAUCUUGACAUCCUUUGACAACUCUAGAGAUAGAGCYUUCCCCUUCGGGGGACAAAGUGACAGGUGGUGCAUGGUUGUCGUCAGCUCGUGUCGUGAGAUGUUGGGUUAAGUCCCGCAACGAGCGCAACCCUUAAGCUUAGUUGCCAUCAUUAAGUUGGGCACUCUAAGUUGACUGCCGGUGACAAACCGGAGGAAGGUGGGGAUGACGUCAAAUCAUCAUGCCCCUUAUGAUUUGGGCUACACACGUGCUACAAUGGACAAUACAAAGGGCAGCGAAACCGCGAGGUCAAGCAAAUCCCAUAAAGUUGUUCUCA
Molecule: ribosomal RNA, 1236 nt
Filed under: Staphylococcus aureus
Lineage: Bacteria; Bacillati; Bacillota; Bacilli; Caryophanales; Staphylococcaceae
Description: bacterial SSU rRNA
Rfam family: Bacterial small subunit ribosomal RNA
Source: RNAcentral